UACAGAGGGUGCGAGCGUUGUCCGGAAUCACUGGGCGUAAAGGGCGCGUAGGUGGCGACCCAAGUCGAUGGUGAAAGCUCGCCGCUCAACGGCGAGUCGGCCACUGAUACUGGGUUGCUGGAGCACUGUAGAGGCAGAUGGAAUUCCGGGUGUAGCGGUGGAAUGCGUAGAGAUCCGGAAGAACACCGGUGGCGAAGGCGGUCUGCUGGGCAGUUGCUGACACUGAGGCGCGACAGCGUGGGGAGCAA
This 248-nucleotide ribosomal RNA is filed under the name uncultured bacterium. RNAcentral describes it as "partial 16S ribosomal RNA". It matches the Rfam family "Bacterial small subunit ribosomal RNA", at positions 524 to 771 of the family's 1533-position model. The record is from RNAcentral.